UGGGUCCUCCUCUACCUCUUGGAGAUGCCACCUUCCACAAAAACUCCUGGACAUGGUCAGAGGAGGAAGGAUUCCCAACUGAAGGACGGGGCAGGCAGAAGGGAAAAUGGAAGAGCCAUCAAGGAAACGGCACAGCAAACAUAGGUAUUCCCUAACAAUGAAUUUGGGAGCCUUUGUUCUAUGCAAAGUCAACCAUCUACUGUAUGCCUUAAGUCAUCUACAUGCACAGGCUCUGAGUACACAGAAUUUCUUACGGUGUGUCAGAUUUUAUGAGACUGAGCAUCUCUUCAGUAACGAGAGAAGAAAAUGGAACAAGACGUGGCAGGAGAUUAUACUUGUCAAGUGGAGGAAAUAGCACAACUGCCUGCCAUAAAGCCAGCUCAGCCCCACGACCGCCUGUAUGGCUCGAAGAGACAACUUAGGCCAAUAGUACUUGAACUGGUGAUGUACAGGAAAGACUCAAUUAAUCUUCGGAGCAGAAGAAGGUCUAAGAAAAAAUUUCUGUGUUUUUUUUUGGUCUUGUCUCACUUUUCCUCCCUGCUCUGUACUACCAACCUUCUCACAGAUUCCCCUCCUCAGAAGCAGCUCUGAGUUGGGUUGCUGAGAGCCACGUGGACUGCAGGAGAGAACAGAACACAUCACUUUGGCAGUGGUGGAUUUCCUAAGGUAUUGAAAAAAGUGAUCUUUUUAGGGGGAAUAGACACAAUGAAAAUGGGAAGUGAGGUGGAGGUUGGGAGGUAGCGUUUAGGUCAUGCUAGAGAUGAAAAUACAUGUAGUAUAUUCACAUCAAUGACCAUAAGGAGGGGCCUAAAUUAUUCAAGAGAAAAGCUCAGUUUUAAAAUGUUUGAGAAUUGAUGAGAGGAAAAGCAUUUAAAGGAAAUGAGUAUAUAUGCAAAGGCUGCCUUUGAUCAAGAGAGCAGGCAACUACACAACACUAAGACAAGGAGUUCUGCUCAGCCUCACACCCAACCACAGGCGCGUUUCAUGGAAGUGCAGCACCAUCAGAAGCAUGCACAAAAAUUAGAGUUGUGCUGAUUUUUCAGUGGUGUAACCAACAACUGAAUCCAGCCAAAUUUACCCAGUUCUGUCAGCUAUCUUCAACAGCUACUUAUGGGAAUGAUACUUACUUCUUUUCCUCAAAUAUAUUCACUCAAACCGUUUCAGAGUGGGAAGGAACACCCCUAAAUCAUAUUGUUGAAGACAAAGGACUAAUAACAACUGAAAUGGAGGAAACCCUAACUUACCUACUGGCUUUGAUAUUACACCUCACUCUGAAGUGGACAAGAAAUCUAAAGGAUGAAAGACCUGAAUCA
This is a long non-coding RNA of Tyto alba (common barn owl), 1313 nucleotides long. RefSeq lists it as uncharacterized. The transcript is spliced from 3 exons. The record is from RefSeq and is a predicted model, not a curated record. NCBI's taxonomy places the organism in Eukaryota, Metazoa, Chordata, Aves, Strigiformes, Tytonidae.